GACGUAGGGGGCGAGCGUUGUCCGGAUUUAUUGGGCGUAAAGCGCGCGUAGGCGGUCCGUUAAGUCGGGUGUGAAAACCCGGGGCUCAACCCCGGGCCUGCAUUCGAUACUGACGGGCUAGAGGCAGGUAGGGGGAAGUGGAAUUCCUGGUGUAGCGGUGAAAUGCGCAGAUAUCAGGAGGAACACCGGUGGCGAAGGCGGCUUCCUGGACCUGUCCUGACGCUCAGGCGCGAAAGCUAGGGGAGCAAACAGG
This 253-nucleotide ribosomal RNA is filed under the name uncultured bacterium. Its description in RNAcentral is "partial 16S ribosomal RNA". It matches the Rfam family "Bacterial small subunit ribosomal RNA", at positions 524 to 776 of the family's 1533-position model. The record is from RNAcentral.